CAUGGACAGGUGCCCAGCCGAGAUGCAGAGCUUCCCAGCUCUCUGAGGGAUUGGCAUGAUAAUGUACAUGACAAUGUUACUGUAUUUGGUCUUGGCGGAAUAGAUCUGCUACGCUGCUUCUGCGGCAGAGCAAGUACCGAAACUUGCUACUGCCAAUACAUCCACAACAUGCUGCUGUGAGCAUGUAAGAAAUAUUGCUGCUGCAAAUAUAACAUACAUGAAAUAACCUCCAUAUAGCAUACAUGAAUCACCUCGUAGGAGAUCUAUACAGUUGAAACUGGGGAAGGUGGAGUGUUUCUGUAGCAAGCUGCAAUUGCUAUGGUAAGCCCUAGUCAUAUAUUUGAA
Cyprinus carpio carpio is the source of this 345-nucleotide long non-coding RNA. NCBI's taxonomy places the organism in Eukaryota, Metazoa, Chordata, Actinopteri, Cypriniformes, Cyprinidae. The record is from Ensembl.